This is an unclassified non-coding RNA of Macaca fascicularis (crab-eating macaque), 117 nucleotides long. It matches the Rfam family "Metazoan signal recognition particle RNA". Rfam says of the family: The signal recognition particle (SRP) is a universally conserved ribonucleoprotein. It is involved in the co-translational targeting of proteins to membranes. The eukaryotic SRP consists of a 300-nucleotide 7S RNA and six proteins: SRPs 72, 68, 54, 19, 14, and 9. Lineage: Eukaryota; Metazoa; Chordata; Mammalia; Primates; Cercopithecidae. The record is from Ensembl.
GCUGGGCGUGGUGGCUCACGCCUGUAAUCCCAGCAAUUUGGGAGGCUGAGGCGGGUGGAUCACCUGAGGUCAGGAGUUUGAGACCAGCCUGGCCAACAUGGCGAAACCCCGUCUCUA